GUCUAUGGCCAUACCACCCUGAGUGCACUCGAUCUCAGGCCUGGCUAAGCAGGCCUUGGAUAGGAGACCACCUGGGAAUACCAGGUGCUGUAGGCU
RNAcentral lists this ribosomal RNA (96 nucleotides) under Phascolarctos cinereus (koala). The record is from RNAcentral. Lineage: Eukaryota; Metazoa; Chordata; Mammalia; Diprotodontia; Phascolarctidae.